RNAcentral lists this ribosomal RNA (468 nucleotides) under uncultured bacterium. RNAcentral describes it as "partial 16S ribosomal RNA". It matches the Rfam family "Bacterial small subunit ribosomal RNA", at positions 28 to 507 of the family's 1533-position model. The record is from RNAcentral.
GACGAACGCUGGCGGCGUACUUAACACAUGCGAGUCGAACGGAAAGGCCCUGCUUUUGUGGGGUGCUCGAGUGGCGAACGGGUGAGUAACACGUGAGUAACCUGCCCUUGACUUUGGGAUAACUUCAGGAAACUGGGGCUAAUACUGGAUAGGAGCUCCUGCUGCAUGGUGGGGGUUGGAAAGUUUCGGCGGUUGGGGAUGGACUCGCGGCUUAUCAGCUUGUUGGUGGGGUAGUGGCUUACCAAGGCUUUGACGGGUAGCCGGCCUGAGAGGGUGACCGGCCACAUUGGGACUGAGAUACGGCCCAGACUCCUACGGGAGGCAGCAGUGGGGAAUAUUGCACAAUGGGCGGAAGCCUGAUGCAGCAACGCCGCGUGCGGGAUGACGGCCUUCGGGUUGUAAACCGCUUUCGCCUGUGACGAAGCGUGAGUGACGGUAAUGGGUAAAGAAGCACCGGCUAACUACGUG